RNAcentral lists this ribosomal RNA (263 nucleotides) under uncultured bacterium. RNAcentral describes it as "partial 16S ribosomal RNA". It matches the Rfam family "Bacterial small subunit ribosomal RNA", at positions 793 to 1055 of the family's 1533-position model. The record is from RNAcentral.
GUCCACGCCGUAAACGAUGAGUGCUAGGUGCUGUGGGUAUUGACCCCCGCGGUGCCGCAGCUAACGCGUUAAGCACUCCGCCUGGGGAGUACGGCCGCAAGGCUAAAACUCAAAGGAAUUGACGGGGGCCCGCACAAGCGGUGGAGCAUGUGGUUCAAUUCGACGCAACGCGCAGAACCUUACCUGUGUUAAAUCCACUGGAAUCUGCCAGAGAUGGCGGGUGCCCUUCGGGAACCAGUGAGAAGGUGCUGCAUGGCUGUCGU